RNAcentral lists this long non-coding RNA (517 nucleotides) under Monodelphis domestica (gray short-tailed opossum). RNAcentral describes it as "lncRNA (ENSMODG00000036901.1)". The record is from RNAcentral. Lineage: Eukaryota; Metazoa; Chordata; Mammalia; Didelphimorphia; Didelphidae.
AUGGAUGCUGAACUAGCAAGGGGAACUGAGAGGGGACCUUCUCCACACAGGAAGAAGGAGAAGCAAGGCAGGCUUAUGAGAGGAUUCCACCAUCUUGUCAGGACCUGUUCCUCACAGAAGAUCUACCCAAUUUUUGAGAAGCCUUCCUCCAUGUUUUCUUUUUUUUUUUCAUUUUUUUAAAACUUACCUUCCAUUUUUUAUUGAUUCCAAUGCACAAAAGUGGGCUGGCCCUGCCUUAUGGAAUGCUUCAUGGAUAUUUAGAUUUCUCUGAGUGGUCUUGAAGAUUUAUAAGCUCUUAUAGCCAUUUAAGUGGGUAUUACUGCCUUUCUGAAAGAGCUUGAUAUAGUUACUGUAAAAUUUCUGCCAGCAUUGCCAGCUGACCCUGUAACUUCUUGGAGACAAAGAGGCUCGGUUUAUGGAAGCUGUGCACCCCAGCUGUUCCCAUUUUCAUGAACGAGCUCAAGGUGCUUGACUAAGAAUCAAUAAAGUUAUAAACUCCAGACUGGAUUUUUGAAAG